UUUUUUUUAGUUUUUAGUUUAUUUUUCUUAGUACGGUUUUAUGUUUUUAUCCUUGUUGUUUAGUUUGCAGGAGUUCAUGACCAGAGGCUCUAACACCCCUUUGGUAAUACCGCUUGAAGAUCCCGAGUCUGCAAUUUACAAGAAGAAGACGCCCUUACAAGAAUUCAAAUCAGUGUUCUCAAAGAAAUCGGGGAAGAAAACAGGGGAGUCACUACUAGAAAAAUACCCUUUAAUGACGCGCAAACCAUGACACGCGCUGUUUUAGGAUACACAAAAGUGUGUACCCUAAAAAUAAUAUCAAUUCUUCCAAAAUGUGAAAGAUUUAGGAUGCGUAAUUUUGCGUGCCCCUAAAAUUUGUGUCAAAAAAGGCGGAGGGCACCUAUCUUAAAAGGCGUAUCGUGAAAUCAUGUCACUUUAUAUUUUUUUGUAAUGAAACGCGCAUCUUCAUCAGCGGGAGAAGGAAUUCCCAAAAUAAUUAGAAAAGUUGAAAACCCCGCCAUGGCGAUUUAGGGUUUCCGUCUUCAUCACUUGUUCACUUCUAUCUUAACUUUCUCUUCCAUCUACAAUCUCUUUCUGGCGAUGAAGGUUUCUCAUGAUUUUUUGAUGUACUUACAAACCCUAGGUCCUGAUGCGUGAUGCGUGCGUAUGUUGCACCUGAUGCGUUCUUUGGAUUUUUUACAAGCAAUCGUGAUAUUGAAUACAUGUCCCCUCUCCCACCGAUCAAGCUUCGGAAUGAUUGUUAUCCCUCUGCCUUCCCCUGCGAAUACGCUCCCAUCUCCCAUAAUGUCAAACUCCUGAAACGGCCUCUUUCUGCUAAUCCUACCGACAGUCCGACACCAUUAAAUUGGAUCCCUAGAUGCUCUAGUCAUCGACUUCUGAGGGUAUAAACAUGUCAGAUUCUGACAUAGAGAAGGCAAAAAGGGUUGUUUUUUUAUCCAAUUUUAAUUUGCCAAGUGAUGUUAUAAUCCUUGAUCGCAUAGUCUAUUAUGCUCAUGGUGGUGAUGUUGCUGUUGCGUUUCUAAGAGUAUUUUCUUCUACAAGUUGUUGCUCUGUUUGGCAUGAUACAACCAAGGAUUGUACUAUGUUGAAGAUUAUUCGUGUUCUUCCCCCUGCUGUUCCUAGCAGUCAAGUGAAAGCAAACUCCUCAACAUGGGAACGCGCAAUUGCAGAAAGAUUUUGAUGGAGUCUUAUGGUUGGAGUUGGUUCGUGGCAUGGUGUUGGUUGUACACAAAGUGCUACUGAGGAUGGAAUUGUUUCACUGAACAAUGUGAUUGCGGUUCUGCAUGCGGAUUUUGCAUUCUCUUCCUUCCACUCAGCACAGACAACAAUAUGGGCCUGGAUUAGACAUGAUAAAAUGCAGGAUAUUAGAAGGAACAAAUGCUCAAGAGGUGAGAGCAAUGGUGAUGGAUAUGCAAGUGCGAUUAUUACUUGAUAUGUUGGGGAAAGGAAUAGAAUCGGCUCUGGUUAAUAGAGAAAACAAUUAUAACGUGAAACUGCUUUUGUGACAUGUUGGCAACAUCAUAAGGUUGAUGCUGAUGAUGAUGUAAUUUUAAUGAUGCAAAGGCAUAUUGGCUCAGACUACCAGCAUCCGAAGGGGCAUGAGCUUGUAAUGGAUGUGCUAUACCACCUCCAUGCUGUCAGGGUGUCAGAUUCAGCCUAAGAUUCUUCAGGGGUCGUUGUAUAUGAGAAGUUCCUUCUGGAAGUGGCUGUCAGCAACCGAAUUUGCCCAAGAGAGAAGAACCUGUUAUUUACAUUAAUGGAAAGCCCUUUGUGCUUUGUGAGGUUGAAGGACCCUACAAAAACAUGCUCGAGUAUACGGGAAUUGACUGUGAUAGAGUGGAGAUAAUGGAAGCUCGAUUGAAAGAAGAUAUUCUCAAAGAAUCUAAACGUUAUGGAGGUGAUAUUAUGGUCAUUCAUGAAACUGAAGAUGGAAAGAUAUUUGAUGCUUGGGAUCAUGUAAGGUGUGAUGUGGUUCAGAACUUUAGAGGCAGAUGGGGUGGAAUGUCGAGAAGCUUUAGAUGCGGUGAUUAAUAGAUGUUAAGAAUUGCAAAACAUACAACAUAAGAUUGAGACCCGGACGCUUCUUUAGUGCUCCUGUAGGUAAGGCUGUAAAUAUUUUAUUUUCAUAAAAUAUUAAUUUUUCUCAACACUACAGUUGUGUGUAUGUAAAUUGUAAUUAAUGUCUGUAUAUGAAAGGAUAUUUUAGUCAUUUACUAAGAAAAGGGUAUGUUAUGCUUUGUUGUAAAACAAACAACUGAGGCACUGGCGGAACAGGUUACACAGGAGCAUUUUGACAAUGGACUGAUAUACCCUAUGUUCACUAACAUCCGUAAGAUUUCCACUCAUAUUGCUGCCAGGGUGGCAGCCAAAGCAUAUGAACUUGUUCCUAAAUCGUACAUAUGGCCUGUGGACAAUGACUUCUAUUUACAACCAUCUACCUCAUUGAUCUUGGAUGCCGACAAAGAGGGUUUACAAGUAUUUGGUUCAGAUUUCAUGAAUGAUGUGCUACUUGCAUAUAAUUACAGUUAUGACCCUGUAGAAGCGUAUCUGUAUUUUGUGGAUAAUGGCAGAUUCUCUAUGGAUGGUGUGCUUUCCGAUAAUCCAGUGACUCCAUCAGUAGGUUUUAGUUGUUUUUCUCAUAUUGGGAAAAAACAUUCUCAGCCAGGAAAAGGAAAGCCUUUAAUUAUCUCAUUUGAAGGAGCAAUUGGGGAGUUUCCAGGGUGUAGUGAUUUAGCAUACAGAAAAGCUGUUUUAGAUGGAGCAGAUAUAAUCAAUUGUCCUGUUCAGAUGACCAAUGAUGGAGUAGCUUUUUGGCAACCUUUCAUCCAGUGUUCCUGAGCUUCAAUCUGGAAAUGGAAUAUAUACAUUCAGCCUCACAUGGAGCCAGAUUAAGAGCUUAAGACUUGAUCUGUUGUGAACCAAGAGUUGUUGUGGAAAGAGAAGUGCUUUAGAAUACUUGUCACUUUUAACUAGAAACUCAUCCCUUGCACCACUUCCUAAAUGCAACAUUCUAUAUUUUCCAUUAAAUUCUUUGCAAGAACAAUUCACCCGAUCAGUUCUCCUCUGUUGACCAUGGAGUAAGCAAGUUGUCUCUUCUGUCAAAGGUGUUUGCAGUGACUGUGAGAUUCAUUCAUAAGGAUCCAGAGGAGAAGAAAUCAUCAUUCAACCUGAGACCGUAUUUCAGGUUAUUCAUUGAUUGGCUGCUUGACCUUAGUACCCUUGAUCCGGUUUUUGAAGGUGCAAACUUUCAGGUUCGUCAGCUCUAGCAACCUCCUUCCAUGCUCUGCUGCCUCUCAAAGUUCCUGUAUGCAUUCAGGUUAUUCUCUCAGAAAGGAAAUUUUCAAAGGAGAUGUCAAAUGAGAAUUUAGUCAUGGGUUUCUUUAAAUGUUAUACAUGUUUUGUUUUCUAUAAUAAAUAUUAUGCAACAUUAGCAAUGUGUUACAUUUACUUACUAUUGGAAUGCUUAUUUGUAUUUGACAUAUUAAUUCAAUGAAUUAUCUUUAUUA
Non-coding RNA from Lactuca sativa (garden lettuce), 3506 nucleotides. Lineage: Eukaryota; Viridiplantae; Streptophyta; Magnoliopsida; Asterales; Asteraceae. The record is from RefSeq and is a predicted model, not a curated record.